Molecule: non-coding RNA, 93 nt
Filed under: Mesomycoplasma bovoculi
Lineage: Bacteria; Bacillati; Mycoplasmatota; Mycoplasmoidales; Metamycoplasmataceae
Also listed under: 1 other name
Description: Mycoplasma bovoculi TPP sequence
Rfam family: TPP riboswitch aptamer (THI element)
About the family: Vitamin B(1) in its active form thiamin pyrophosphate (TPP) is an essential coenzyme that is synthesised by coupling of pyrimidine and thiazole moieties in bacteria. The previously detected thiamin-regulatory element, thi box was extended, resulting in a new, highly conserved RNA secondary structure, the THI element, which is widely distributed in eubacteria and also occurs in some archaea.
Source: RNAcentral
UUAAGUAAACAGGGGUGCCUUUAACUAGGCUGAGAAAUACUCUUAAAAGUUGAACUAGUUAGUACUAGCGUAACGAGUUUAUUUUUUAUAUAU